CUGUAUUUAUCGCGUUUAUUUUUUUGUAAACAAAUUUUUGAAUUAUAAAUUAGCAUUUUGUAUGUUAUUCAGUAAUCUACUUUUAUCGUAUCAAUUGAUUAGGUCAAACUGUUACACUAUUUACUUAUACAAUAAAUCGACUAGGUAAA
This is a non-coding RNA of Linepithema humile (Argentine ant), 149 nucleotides long. Lineage: Eukaryota; Metazoa; Arthropoda; Insecta; Hymenoptera; Formicidae. The record is from RefSeq and is a predicted model, not a curated record.